UCAUUGAGAAUAAACCAAAAGAAAGUAGGAAAGGGGCAUAAAUAAAAAUAAAAACAGAAAUUGGUGAAACAGGACACAAACAGGGUUGCGUUGUUCUCUGAGAUCCUCUAACGACUCAACAGCACAAAACGUUCCUUUAGUUCCUCCUAAGGGUAGACUCUGUGAACAGGCUGCAUGUGCCUGACUGCCAGCGGUUGCUGGAUGCUUCUGUUCUGGCUGUUGAGUAAAGGAAGCAGUGGGGAGAGGAGGAGUCACGGUCGUUUCGUGUUCUUUGGGUGGGGCGGGUUAGGAGAAGUUAUCACUUAGCCUGCCCACAUCAAGGCACGGCAAGCCUUACAUUCUUUUUUUCCCCCGCUGACCAGCUGACCAACUUCCUCUUGCCUUUAAGAGUAUCCAGGCUGGGAGGGCAUUUUGUUGUUUUGUAGAAUGUCUUGACUCUUCUCCUGCGGGUUCCCCUUGAGCUUUGCCCCCAGGAUUGCUGGCUUCCUGGGUCUUGUAAAGCCAGCGUUCUCCUUGUCCUGGAGGCACCUGUUUUGAGGGGGCGAUGGGAGCUGGAGCACGGGUCCCUGGGCAGAUGGAGAAGAGGCGUCUGUCCGGUUAGGCACAGGGCUGCUCUUCAGCAGAAAUGGGAAGCAGAUGUCGUUGGUUGGGGAUUUACUUUGCUGUAUUCCUAGUAACGUCCAUGGGUAUUCUACUGGGUGUCAUGUGCUAGAAGUUUCCCGUGAGUGUGUGGCCAUGUGCGUUUACCCAGGACCUUGGCAUAUACGUAGUUGUUCAUUCAACAAACAUGACCGAAGGCCUGCUGUGUGCCGGGCACGGUCCUAGGAGCUGGGGUUGGAGCAGUGAACAAAACAGGGACCAGGGUCCGUGCCCGCCUGUGGCUCGCUGAUGGAGGGGGACAGUGAGUCAUGGAGGGGGAGGGGUCCUCAGAGCAGGCUUUUCCAGCAAAGUGACAUUUAAGAUGAAACAAAUAGAAGGUGGUCAGGCCUGGAUUGGAGGAAGAGGGCGACAGAGUGUGACCUCGUGAACAAGGGCGUAAAUGUCAGUUGGCGAGAGAUGAGCCAGGGCCCACAGGGAACCCCUGUAGCGGGGUCAUCAUCCCCGUUCUCCUAAAACCUAAACAUGCGGCCUGGUUUAGACAUCACAUGAUUCGGAGGUGGAACUUGGAGCAGAUGAAGAAGUUUCCCAUGGGUCGUACGAAGCCUUUCUGUCUCUGGUGGUCUUUUCAGAGCUUCUCUGCCAUCACCGCCACCCAGUCUCCAACCCAAAGCACUCCUGCCUUCGUACGGGCUUUGCAGAUCCCCGACUGCCCCUCCAGAACCAUGUCCCCAGCUCUCGACUUUUCUCGCUCUUUUUCUCUGUAUCAAAACUCACCUGUCCUGGGUCCCAUCCUCAAGGUGUUAGUGUGAUGUGAUGUCCUGCACCGACCCCAGCCUGGGAGGGUCAACCCAGAGAAGUGCAGAGUGAGCGGACUGGCCCGGCGGCAGCGUCUGUCUGCGGUGGGGGCUGCGCAGGGCUGGGAUUGCUUACAGACGUUACAAAGCAGGAUGAAGAGAUCUGAACUUCUGGGACUUGGGACACCUGGGGACCGGUCCUUGUUGUGCAUGUGGCUCUGGGCAGCCUCUCAGGUUUCUGUCUCCUCAUCUUGAAAAUGGACGAAGGGAUUUCUGAGUCCCUUCUGCUCUGCAGUUUUAGGUCCUUCUGGGUUCCUGGGCCCCGGUCACACACAUCUUCCCUCCGUCCAGCAGUGACCUGCACCCAGCGGAGGGAGUUACGAGGAUGCUUACCCACCGACUCCGUUUGUACAGGUGGCUGUGGGGUGUGGCCGUGUGCAGAAAAGGGCCUUGUUCCCCCCAAAUUCAUCCCCUUCUGCCUGAUGGUAAACCACAGUUUUUGGAGACCUUAUUUGGCCUCGCUCAUGCCCAUCCCAGCUGGUCUCUGGCCCCCUCACUCCAUCAGGGAACCCCCAGUGCUACAGUCAAGGGCACAUAGUUGUUGCUCAGUAAAUGAUAAUCAUGAUUAAUAAUAAUGAAUAAUAGCGGGUCCCAUUCAUUAAGCGCUUACCACGUGCCAAGCAUUUUACAUUCCAUGCUUCCAGCACCCUGUGAUGUGAGCUGUUGAAGUCACCGUUUUGUGGAUAGAGGAGGUGAGGCACAGAGAAGGGAAGUAAGUCCCUUGAGGUUGCACAGCUGGUAAGAGACAGAUCUGUGUUCUCACCCAGGCAGGCUGGCCUGGAGCCUAUGCUCUUAACGACCAUGUUACCUAAUGCUAAGUACUCUUGAUUUGGUUGAGAAUUGACUGGACCGAGGUGGACCAGGGCAUGGUCCGCUCUCCCAGCUGCUGGCCAUGCCCCUUCCCUCCUGCCCGUGGGGGAGGCCUCUGCGCUGCAGGCCUGGCAGGUGUCCCAUCUGCUUCUGCCCUCUUCUUCCUCUCGUUCUUCCUGCCCGCAGACUGGGUGAGGGGGAGGCCGGCCGCUGUGGUCAGAGUCUCUACCCAGGCUGGGGCUGCAGACUUGGCCCAUGCGCUUUGGCAUGCUCGGCUGGCCCGACGUGGAUGCUGCAGGAGAGAGCAGAGGAGAGGCAUGAACCUGGCCUCAUCCUGGGGAGAAGGGGAUGUGCCCUCCAGGUCUGGGGGAGCUGUCCCCGGGUGUGGUGUGAGCAGGGCGUGGCCUGACAUUCUUAUACCACGCCCCUCUCCUCCCCCGCAUAGGUCCCUGUUUGUCUCAGUUCCAGGAUGCAGUACAAUGGAAGAGGGAAGCACAGGGACUCUGGUGCUGGACUGCCUGGGUUCAAACCCUGGCUCUGUCAUUUAUCAGCUGUGUGAGUUUAGGCAAGUUGGGCAAACUCUCUGUGCCUCGGUUUCUUCAUCUGUAAAAUGGGGAGGAUAACGGUAUCUACUUCAGAGGGUUGUUGGGAGAAAUAAAUGAGUUAAUAUAUGUAGUUUGUUUAGCACAGUGCCUUGGCACGUAAGGUGCUUAUUAGUAUUACUGCUUUUGAUCCUGGGAGGAGGAGGAGGAGUUGGAGGGGGGAGGAGCUGGCUGGCUGACCCUGCCUUUUCCUCUCUUUCCUCCCUCUCGAGUGGGGUGGGGACUGGAUCUGAUUCCCAGCUCAGGUCUGAGUGGCUGUGUGGCCUUAGUCACAUAACCUCUCUGUGCCUGCUUUCUCACCUAAAAUCAGUAUAGCGAUUGUAAUAAUGAUCAAAAUAGUAAUAAUUGACUUCAUUUUAAGAGGUGUAUUUUUUAUAUUUAGUAAACAGGAUUUCUGAUAUCUGGGAUGAAUAUUACACUCGAUGUGUGCAUUUCCUUAAUGUUUCCGAACACACCCAUAUCACCCCCAAACUCUUACGAAGUCAGUGAUGCAUCUUACAAGCAACGGGAUUUUUGAAUUAAGAGGCCACGGUGUCUACGAUGUGCCAAGCUAGGUCCUGAGUGUUUUCACUGCAUCAUUUUAUUUAAUCCUUACCACAGCGCUGGAGGUAGAUACUGUUCUGCUCCCAUUUUACAGAUGUGGAAACUGAGGCUUAGAGAGAGAAACAGUGGCUUGCAUACAAGGUCAUGCUUGUUGAAGCGACAGAGCUGGUCCACCUAUGGACCCCAUGCCGGAACCUGAACAUCUUUUCCAAGGGUGUCGGGGAGCAUCUCUCUCCUCCCUGGGAGGUGGGAACAUGUUCCUAAAGAUAGCCUCAAGCUUUUGGGAGGAAAAAUGCUACUGGUGGUCUUGAUGGCUCAUCAGGCCCUGCCAAGUACCAGCCGUUCUUGACCAUGAACUUGGCAGGCUGACAGCAUGUCGGGGAGACCCUUGCAGGUCACGCCUUGUGCAGAACACAAUGUUUUCAGAGCCUAAAGCAGUUUAUAAAAUAAUGUGGGAUUCAUCCCAGAGCCUGGCAGAGGGUCUGGAAUUCUUGAGCCCUGUUUUCCAGUUGGAUUAAACUGAAGUCAGACGUUCUGCCCCAAAGUCUGAAGUGAGUCAUGUAGGCUGGGAGCAGCCUGGCUGUCAGGCCCCUCCCCGGCUCUGGGCACCCAGGGUUCCUUCCUUGCCCGUGUCUCUGCCCAGUGUCGAGGCGGCUGAUGGCUGGCGGGCUUUGGGGGUCUUUGAGAAAGGGAAGAAAUAAGCAGUGGGCUGCCUGGCAGCUCAGACUAGAGCUGUUGGGCAGAGUCCAGAAAUGACCUUGGUGACAGUGACAGUCUCUGAGUUCGUAGGAAGUGAGGUCGGAAUAAUUGAUUGCUGCUGAGUUGUGAAAACCAUUUUAGGAGAUUCCAAUCUGCAGGCUCUCCGAGGGAAGGAAUAGGCUCCAAUGGGGGCUGCCUUCUCCCUCCAGCCCAGGGGACGCUUGGAGUCUCCCUCUCUGCCCAGUGAGCUUGGCCAUGGCCCCAGGACUUGGAGGUGGCGCUGGCUGCCCACGCCUCAUGGAGGGGCCGCUGCGGGGUGGGAGAAGAGGAGGGUGGCCUCGGCUCCGGGUGGGUUGGGCUGUUCCCCACCGAGGGUUGGUUGAGCCCCUUCUGAGUGUGGGUCCCCAGACCGUCUGAAAUUCAGACAUCCCUGGGUCUGUAGAAGGAUUACAUUGGAUGGCAGACUUCGGGGCCCUUCUCCCACCUGCCUCCUGCCUGAUGAGCCACAAAAGCCAGAGGAGACACGGAGUUUUCUGAACGCGGAUCUGACCCCCAGGAUUGGGAGGAGCGCUGGUUUUCUGAAUCUGACCCCUUGGGGCUUGUUCAGUCCACUUCCGUUCUAGAAGAGGCAGCAUGGCCUGGUCAUUGGGAACCAACGGCCUGAGCUUGCAUCCUGGAUCCACCCCUUACUAUUUGUGGGAGCUGGGAUCAGUCAUGUUACCUCUCUCUGCCUCAGUUUACCAUCUGUCAAAUGGGGAUGACAGUGGUCCCUCCUUCAAAAGGUCAUUGUGAUGAUUAAAUAAGUGAAUAUUUAAACAUAAAAAUAAAUAAAGACACGCGCACAUAAAAUAAAGCCCCAGCUGUUACCUCAUUCGGUCCUCUGAACAGUGCCAUGAGGAAGGUGGGAUGAGAAAGCACGGACAGACGAGAUGCUACACACAGAAGAGAUUCAGUGACGUUUCAGAGGCCACACAGCCGCUUUAAAGAGAGGUCUGCCCUGUUUAGUGGAAAGACCUGGCUUCAAAUCUUGGGGCCAUCACAGACCAGCUGUGCAGUCCGGCUCAGUGCUGCCGGACCCUUUGGAGGCUCACUUGGGAUGACAAUGUCACCUCCUCCAUGGGGUAGUGUGAACGUUGGUGGUCAUUCAUUCACCCAUCCCGUAAAUAUUUACUGAGUGCCUAGUACCUGGCAGGCUCUGUUCUAAGAGUUUGAAAUGUAUCCAUGAACAAAACAGUGGCCCCUGCCUUGUGGAGUCAACAUGCUAGAGGGGAAAGGCAGAUAACAAAUAAUAAACAUUUAAAUAAAUACGUAAGCAAACACUCUAGAGCAGAGACCAGCAAAUGUUAUCUGUAAAGCGUCAGAUAGUAAAUAUUUUAGGCUUUGCGGGCCUGAUAGUCCCUGUGUCAGCUACUCACUUCUGCCCCUGAAGCUUGAAAACAGCCAUGGACAGCGUGUGAAUGAAUGGGCAGGGCCGUGUUCCAAUAAAACUUUAUUUACAAAAGUAGGUGGUGGGCAGGAUUUAGCCUAUGGGUCAUAGUUUGCCAACCCUUGAUCUAGACCAGAGUGUUAGAAGGUGUUAAGUGCUCUAAGAAAGAAAAAAAUGGCGCCCAUGCCAGAGGGUGACCUGGAUGUGCAGGUCUUAAGGAUGACGCGUGUUGAGAGCCGGGUGCAUGCAGGCGCUCGGCUAUGCUAUAGCCAGGUGGGGCAUCUUAGAACCCCAGCUUUCCGGCGUGAGGGCCUGGCACUCUCUGCCACCAGGGAAUGAGGCGGAGGCUGGUGAUGCAGUCUAGGUGAUGCUGUGUCCCAAGGCCCAUCCUUUCCCAUUUCUGCCUUCACCUGUGGGUCCUUGCUGGACGCAGCAGGGAGACUGAUGGGACGAAGACCGCCCUGGGGGGAGGUCUGUGACUGUCAUCAUCAGCAUCACAACACAGAUGCUCCAGGACUGGUCGCUGCUCCCAUCCAGGAAGUAUGGUGGCCAUGGAUGUGCUCCCACUGGGAACCUUACCAGCCCCUGUGGCCUCUGCCUGGCGCAGGGCGAUGUUUUUCUUGGGCCUUCAGGGACCAGAGGUGAAAGCUACUGUCUGGGAUGCGUUUGAGCAGCCCUGCGUGGGGCAGGAAGGGAGAGCUCGAUUCUUCUUGGAGGUUUUCAGCUGGUCUGGUGGACACUGUCUGCCUCUAGGCUGCUACAUGGUGCCUUUCUGUGAUUUAGAGAAAAGUGCCUGUUCUAGGGAGGGGCAUGGGUGGCUAGAAAACAAUGUUUGUACAGAGAAAAGGUGUUCCUUCCUCUGAACAGUGUGGGCUUGGACUGUGGAGUGAGGCUAGAUGAUUUCUCCCUCACUGGGCACUAUGUGCAGUGCCCAGCCUACACAGCUGUACAUGGCCGCCUUGUAUAGGAUGUCGCUCGUAUUUAAUAGCAGGUGGUCGCUUUCCUACGUCCCUUGCUCUCUCACUUUCAAGCAUGAAGAGCUGUUCCAGGUCUCUCAUCUCCACGGGCGCUCACCUGAGCCCACUGUUUGGCUCGCCCCCACGGCCUGAGCCUAAAUUUUUGGUCGGAAGGGGAAAUAGACUCGACCAUCCCUCAAGAGGCUGCCACUGUGCAGGACAUCGCCAGGAGGCCUGGCACCUCCCCGAGAGCUGUCUUCCUGCUAGUGUCCAAACUUCCUAAGAGUGCCCCGUCUUUAUCCUGUUAAAAAUAAACACCGUUUUCUCCGCUCCCUUCAGCGGCUGAAUUGUACCCUGGAGAACGAGCAUUUGUGUUUCCUCGCAAAGGCUCCGGAGGGAGACGCAUAAACAAACUGUAAACAGCUGUUUCUCCUCUGGUGACAGGAUGCAGACAAUAGACCCUCUGAGGGUGUUAAUCAGCUGCCUUUUCUGCAGCGACUUUGCGUCACGGGCCUCGGAGGAGCCUCCAUGCUGGGUGACAGUGGCUGCGGUUUCCUGAGCAAGCGGGGGAGUCGCUCGACACGGAGCGCCGUGUGGGCCUGGCAGCAGCCGCCACCUCCCACAGCCCAGCGUGGACCUGCUGCGCUUCCCAAACAGAUGUCCGAGCAGCUGUCCUGCAGGUUCCCAGCUUUGUUCCCUGGCAACCUCUUGAGAGAGAUUCUUGCUUAGAAAAGUAGCCCGAUGUGGUCACCUCUUUCUCUGAACAGGGAUGCUAUUCCGUCGAAUAAUGUUCAUCCCACGAAUAUUGUUUUUGAGCACCCACUGUGUGCCAGGCACUAUGCUAGGUUCUUGGGGUAAAUCUGUGCCCAAUAUUUAAUUCAAGAGAUGGAUGCUGGACACCUCCUAUGUGUCCAGGCGCUCUUCUAGGUCCUUGGGACACAUCGGUGAGUCCUGGAAAACAGAAGCCCUCCCUGCGUCCGUUCAUUGCUUCAACCCACAUUUCAACAAAUAUUUACAGAACACCUACUGUGUGCCAGGUACUGUCCUAGGUGCUUAAAAUGAUAUGGUGAACGAGAUGGACAAGGUCCCUACCUCCUCUAGCAGAGGAAGAUGGACCAUCAGUCAUAAAUAUAUAAAUAGGAUCGGUCCAGGCAGCCACAAGCACGCUCGUGAAAAUGACCAAGAAGUCUGUGACAGAGGGUGAUUGCCGUGGGGCGAGCCUGGUUCUGCUGGGAUGACUAGGGAAGGCCUCUCUGAGGAGGGGACAGUCACACUCCCACCUAAACAGGAGGAGGAACCAGCCACGAGAGCAGCUGAAGAACUAGCUUUCCAGGCAGAAGGCAUAGCAAGUGCGGAGGUUGGACUGAGUUUGGGAUUCGCAGGAGCGACAAUUGAUCUGUGUGCCUGGGCCCAGUGAGUGAGGGGAGCCUGGGGAGGGCAGGAGGGAGGGGUCCGCGGGGCUCAGUAAUGUGGAUCUUGGAGACUAGGGCAAAGAGUUCAGACUUUAUUCAAAAGAUGUGGGAAAUCAUUAGGGAGUUUAAACUGGGGAAAUGAUCGGCUUUGAGCUUUAAAAAAAAAAAUCCUUCUGGUCUAGACAUGAUGACAGAAUGCAAUGUGGCUUUCUGGAUUGGAUCCUGGAACAGAAAAGGUUAUUAGUGGAAAAACUGGUGAAAUCCGAAGGAAGCCUGCAAUUUAGCAUCUUAGUGAAGAGUGUUGCACCCAUGUUGGUUGCUUGGUUUUGACCAGUGAACUGUGGUUCAGGCAAGAUGUGGACAUUAGGGGGAGCUGGGUGAAGGGUACGCAGCAACCGUCUGGCCUAUCUUUGAAACUUUUCUGCAAGUCUAAAAUUAUUUCAGAAUAGAAAGUAUUAUUUUAAAGAUCCGUCUGGGUAGUGGGCAUUGCAGGGGGCACUGAAAGAAGGCAAGAGUGAAGGCAAGGAGACCCGCGGGGGGCUUUUGAGGUCAACCAGAUGAGGGAUGAUGGUGAGGAAGCACGGUGGUGCUCUCAUCCAGGAGAGGGGGCGCCUUUAGUUGAGUGAUGGGUCUGCAGCCCCAGCUCUUGAACAUCUUUCUCUCACUGGUCUGUGUCAGCCCUGUCAACUAACUCAGCUGGUAUUUUCUGAGCAUCUUCUAGGCGCUGAGUGCCAUGCUGAGGGUCAGUUAGUCCUCACAUCCCUUCCCAGCCAGUAGGGCCUCUUAUUUCUACCUGCUUCAUUCCUUUUGUGGAAAUUACCCCCAUCACCUUGGAUAAUGACUUGAAGCGAGUGUGUGUGUGUGCGUGUGUGUGUGUGUGUGUGUGUGUUUAUAUAAUGCCUAACCCUCCACUAGGCAGGGUAACAAGACCCAUAGAGUCAGAGGCUUAAUUUUGCUUAUUACUGUAUUUCUAAUGCCUGGCACAUAGCAGGCACUCAAUAAAUACCAUAAAAUAUGUAUUUAUAUUAUAUAAAUAUAAUACUAGAUAGAACUACAAUAAAUAUAUAACGAUGAAACAACAGUAAUAGUGGCAGUAAGCACUUAAUGAGCAUUUGCUAUUUGCCAAGCGCGUGUUGAGCCCUUUGCUUGAAUUUUAAUCCUUGCAGCCCCGUGAGGUAACUAUUGUUUUCACACCCAUUUUAUGACAGCGUUGGAGACCUUUGCUCAAGGUCACGGAGCAGAGCCAGGCUUUGUACCCAGGCAAGUAUGUCUCCGGUGCCCCCAGCCUCUACAUACUGAGCCACACUGCCUGCCACGGAUUGAAUCGAUAACUCUCAUUAGUUUGCUGAUUAAGUUAACGCAUGUUCGUUGAGAAAAAAUGAGAAAACAAAGGCGCAUGCGUAAAGAAGAAAAUGCACAUUCUCCCCAAGGCCGCCUUCGGUUUACUUCUGGACGAGGGUUAACCCCUGGAGUCGCUCAUUUUGGUGGGAAUCAGGUGGUUUCAUUGCUUUCUUCUCUCCUUGGAGAGACUAAGGGUGCAGGCGGCUGGGCUUGGGGGGGUGAGGGAAGCGGGAGGAGAGCUGCAAAGGCUCAUGGGAGGAUGCUCUGCAGUGCUUCCCAGCAUUCCCUGGGGUGGCCUCUGCCUCUUCCUUCAAGGCGGGAGAGUCCAUGGAGCUCACUGGACAUCCAGAGCCGUGGGACCUUCAGGAUCUAGAAAAGCCCCUCCAGUCGGCCUGUAGCUGCUGGUGAACCUCCAGGUAGUUAAGCCUGCUCCUCAGUUCACCGGAAGAGAUGGGGGCUUUCUGUGGCUCUUGGAUUGUGAUCCGCCAUCAGUUGUAAGCUCUGUACCAUCCAUUCGAUAACAGCUUUUUUGGGGAGGGGUGCAUAUCAGUCAGGUUUCCCCAGAGAAACAGAACCGAUGGGAUGUAUAUUAUAUUCCUUAUGAUAAGGAAUGGUCCAUGCUAUUACGGAGGCUGUGAAGGCCCAAGAUCUGUAGUCGGCAAGCUAGAGACCAGGAGAACUGAUGGUCUAAGUUCUAGAUCAAAGGCGGGCAGUUUCCAGAACCAGGAAGAGCCAGUGUUUCAGUUGGAGUCUGAAGGCAGGGAGAAGCCAGCGUCCCAGUUUGAAGGCUGUCAGAUGAGAGGAGUUCCCUCUGGAGGGUCAGGCUUUUUGUUCUAUUGAGACCUUCAACUGAUUGGAUGAGGCCCACCACAGUAGGGAGGGCACUUUGCUUUACUCAGUCUACUGGAUUGAAAUGUGAAUGUCAUAGAGAAACAUCCUCACAGACACACCCAGAAUAAUAUUCGAGCAAAGGUCUGGGCAUGCUCUAGCCCAGUCAAGUGGAUAUAUAACAUUAACCAUCACAGGGGCAAGAGGAGGGCACAAAUUUGGUAUUUAAGUUCUGGCAGCUCAUUUUUGGGUCCUGUGUGGAAGGUUAUUGUAGAGAGCUGGAUCUUUAUUCUCCUUUUUAUCUGACUCUAUCUUUAUCCUUGGCCAUUAUCUGGCACUGACUGUUGCUGUGGAUUUCCUUAGGGAAAACUUAAUCGUAUUCAUUAUCUCUUUUUGCCAUUGAUACUUAGAGUACUUGAUAUUAAAAAAAAAAGGCCUUAGAAACUCAAAUGAAGGCAAGUCUUUAAGGAGUUAAAAUGAGAGUCAAAACCCUCAAAUACCCUUAAGGCUAGGGAGGUAGGUAAGUAUGUUCUAAAGGAUAGGUAUAGGGCUAUAGAGAGUGGUGAGGACUGUGGCAAAUGGAAUAAUGAAUGCUCUGCCUUAAGUGAACAGUAGCUCCUUGGCUCCAGCUGCCUGUGGCUAGGAGAGAAUCAGGCCCAGGUUUUUCCGCUCUUUUGGGUUUUAAAAGAAUCCAGAAAUUUGGAUUUUUCACUGUAGUCUGUGAUAUAUAUUGGCGACUAAUUCAAAUUUAUGUAUUUUUUUUAAUAACACCCGGUGUGAGCUAAACAAAACAUUUCUGUGGGCUGGAUUUGUCCCAUAGGCCUCUAUCUAACUGAUUACGAAUUAAAUAAUGAUAGUGGGACUAAUAAUGAAUAAUAAUUUUAGCAAAACAUCUGACAUUUAUUUAAUGUUUACUGCGUGCCCGGCACAAUUGCAGCUCCCUAAGUACAUUAUCUCGUUCAGUCGUCAGAACAGAGGUAGGCGCAGUGUUGUUCAUCCCCGUUUUACAGAUGAGGGUCGGUUAGGUGCCCGCACCACAUUUACCAUUAGUAAGUGUUGGAACUUAGCUUUUCUCAGUCAACAUCCUUUGCUUUAAACGCCUAUGUCAUGGUGAUUCUUUUGAUCCUAAAGUGUGAGACCCACACCCACUGGAAAUAUCCAGCGUGGGUUAUCACAGAUCAUAGCAGAAACCCAAGGAGGAGAUUACAGAAGGGUGCACUUAUUUUAUUGGGCAGCCAAAUACCAUAGACCAUGAUAAGUACCUUCCAAUGUAAAUGCCUCGAAUCCUUACAAUGACGUGGUGAGGUGGACCUUAGCCAGAUUCUGCAGAUGAAAUAAGAUUCUGUGUCUAUUUCCCCAAGACCACACAGCUAGUGAGGGGCAGAGGUGGGACCGGAACCCAGGUCCACGGGUCUCUAACGCCCAUAGUCUUGCUACUCUUCCCCAUAAUUAAGAUCAAAGAAUGAGAAAGAACUAGUGCAGGCAGCUGACUGAGAAUCCGGUUGUGCUGACUCCAAGUAGAUAUGAAUGUGGCUAUGGAUCCUUUUCAGACGGUCAUUCUGAUAUUUACAACUUAUGGCGUACUUGUGUGGGUGAGCACAUCUCCACGAGGUGAUAAGGCAGUAGAUGUUUGGCUUUCGUUUGUGUUUCCGUGUUGAAAAUUGUUCUCCGGAAAGUUUUUGUCCUCUGUUUAUGAAUGGGUCCCGCGAUGGUGUCUCUUCAUUUCUGUCUUCACAAAAUAAGCACAGAUUCAUCUCUUGCCUUCAGAUUGGCGACCUAGCUUUGGCUCUAGAAUCUUCCAGUGCUCUCUCACCUACCUUCGUCUUAAUGAGGUACACAGAGAUGGACUGUCUCUACUUUUAGACACAUGUUUCCCACAGCAUGGAAUGUGUAUUAUUAACGGUAUUCAAGUCGAUUGUAUGUGGUACUGUAUUAAUUACCUAUUGCUGCAUAACAAAUGACACCCAAACUUAGUGGCUUAAAGCAACAUGUGUUAUUUUAAUCACAAAAGAUAGAUCUCAUCAGUUCAUUCUGUAUUCAAGCUGACGGCCAGAGCUGGGUUCUCAUCUGAAGGCCCAACCGGGGGGAGACUUGCUUCUGAGCUCACCCACCUGGUUGAGUUUCUCAUAGGCUGCGGGACCCAGGGCCUCAGUUCCUUGCUAAUGGUCAGCUGGAGGCCUCCUUCAGUUUCUCACCCUAGGACAGUGUACAAAAAGGCAACAUUCCCCCGGAGCCUGUGAUGCAAGAAAGAGAGCCUGGAGGAGAGAGAGAGAGCAGCUAAGGUGGGAGCUGCAGUCUUCUUAAGCCAAACCCUGGAUGUGAAAUCCUGUUGCCUUUGCAGCAUUCUUUUCAUGAGAUGUGAGUCACUAAAUCCAGGUCACCCUCAAGGGCAGGGAUUUGCACAAGAGUGUGAAUGGUCCAGUCUGGAACGGCUGGCUGCACCAAGAGGCAGCCAGUCUUCAGCCCCUUGGCUGCAGGUAUUCUGAAGCAUGUUUCUGCCCUGAGGAAAUUAUGCCGGAGUCUGGGAAAGUGAAUUUCACUCUAUUUUAAAAACUGGUCGGAUUUAUGUUCCUGCACACUUCCGAAAGCCACUCGCCCCUCCACCCCCCCCAAGAACAAUUUUCUCUAACAUGGAGAGAGGUGUCUGGAAGGAGUGACCUGAUUCUUCUUUCCCUCUCCUCUCUUUGCCGAGAUAACUGCUCCAUGGGACGUAGGCCGUCCGUCUUGUUGGACUUGGCAAUGUUUGUCCAGGGCGAUGCUCCAAGAGAGAGACAGUUCCAAGUGUUGCAAUGUGGACACGCGUGCAUGCCAAGCAGAUGUGGGUGACAUGGUGCACAUUGGCUUAACGUGGGACUGUUUCCUGGAGCCGCCUCAAUCAGCGUUUGAUACAGAUAAAGAUCGCUUGUCCCCAGAUGCCUUCUUGGUUUCAGUGGAGCCAAGUAUGAUUGGAGGGAGAGGAGGCUGGGUUUGGAAAAGUGUGUUUCUGUGGCCGCGAGUGGGAGUUUGGACCAGGGGAAUGCCGUUAAGUGGGAAGCAGGCAGCUCAUACCCAACAUGGGCCCAGAUGGUCCCAGAUUUGUUGCCUUCCUGUCUAAGAUGUCAGGAUUUUGGCAAACUUUUUUUUUUUUUUUGCUUGACAUAAUCUCCAGUGUUCUUUGCAGCAGAAUAUUGCAAAUGUCAGCCGAGGACUGAAAACCCUCAGUCACAUGGCCUGCAUUCAGAGCCUGGCCUCACUCAGUUUUCCUCUCUGUAAAAUGUGACCCGUGAUAUUGGCCAGCCACCAAAGGAUCUUGCAAGGAUUAAAUGAGAUAAUGCAGGUGGAUAAUUUAGCACGGGUCUGGCACCCAGGAAGUACACCAGAGGGUCAGUUACUGUGACUGUUGUUAUGGUCAUUAUCAGCCAUUUCCUAUGGACAGCCUUCCAGACCCUUCUCUCUGGAAAGCAUGAAUGUUAGAAGGUGAAGGAAACAAGUCUUCAUUUGCCCGUGGGACCCAAGCAGUUACAUAAAACCCUACGCUUCUAUAUUAUGAGCUUAACAGUGGAGACUUAAAUUGUGUUUCUGAGCUCUUACGUAAUUCUUCAGCACAUCUCAUUUAAUCAUAAUAUAUUGAGGCCACGUCUUAGCUCUGUGGUCAUUUGAAUAGAUUCUUUUCUGGCCUCCUGCCUCUAACUCCAGGAAAGUCCUCAGGGUAAAUUUCUGCUUUCCAUUUUUAUAGAAUGACCUCGUUCCCAGCUUAAAAGCCCAAUGUGAUUGCAGUAGCUUUAAAUAAGAUGAUCGAGUUCAAUUUAGCAAACAUUGACUGAGCCCCUACUGUGUGUGGACUGCCAUGUUCAGAGGCUGGUGAAAGGCAAGCUGGCAUAAUGGGUGCAAGUGGGAAUUCUGGAACCAAACAACCUUGGUUCAAAUCCCGCGACCUCUCCCACUCUGUGCGAUCUUGGGCAAGUCACUUCACCUCUCUGAGCCUUGAUUCCCUCAUUUCUGAGAUGGAAAUGUUAGCAGUACCUGCCCACCUUUGGUUGGAAGUAAAUGAAGUCAUGUAUGUUUCGUGCCUCCUGCGGUACCUAAAAAUCAUGCAAUAACUGUGCACAACUUCUGUCCCCAGCUGCUCACAGAUAAGUAGGUGAGAGAAUCUUUCAAAGAUUAAGCCAUGGAGAGAGAGCGCUGGGUUUUUGGUACUCUGGGUUCCCUUUGGCCACCUGUUGGUCUUGUCUGGAGGGGCCAUGCUGUCUCGCCUGUGUCAUUGGGCAUUGGACACCCAGCUCUCCCCAGGUCCCACCCUGGUCCCCUGGUCCCAUAUCCCCAGAUGUCAUCUCCUGCAGGCAGGGCCUGCUCUGCACUGCUCGCCGUUGGAUGCUCCACCUAGCGCGGAGCCUGGCCCAGAGCAGGAACUUUAUAAAUACUGGCUGAAUCAAUCCAUGAAGUCCAUGAAAAAAAAUCCCGAGAUUUUUUUUCUCAUCCAGAAGAGUUUAUCUCCGCAAGCUCUAAGGUCAAACUUAGAUGUAACCAAACCCGCAGCCGCCUUUAGACAGACAGAGCCUGAAAUAGCCGCAAAAGCCCCUGGUCAUGUACACUUCUUCAUUUACUGCACCUGCUGUCGCCUUUUAAAAAAACUUGCUGGAGUGGCAGACCAAAGUGACCAGAGAGUGGAUUGUCAGGUUCCAGGGGACUCCCCACCUUAGAAAGAGAGGGUCCCAGAAGGCCAGGUGGCACUCUGUUAGCUUCAGCUGGGCUUUUGAGCUUGACCCACUGCUGACCACCUUCCUUGCACUUCUGCUCUUGAGCCAAUUUACGUGAAAAGCCGGUGACUGGAGAGCUGUGCGUGUGCUUCAGGACGGGUCCCAGGAGGAAGGAUGGAGACCAUCCGUCACCUGCUGACACUUCAGCCUGGGUGGCUGCAUCAUUCUAUAUUCUCGCCAGCAGUGAAUGAGCGGAUCUGUUCCUUUUGUUAUCUUCCUCUGAACUGGAGGACGAUGUUUGUUAGAGACCUCUGCAUGUGAAAUCCAGAAGUUGCCACCUGCCCGAGGAAACAGGCCCUCACUGGGCCCUUGACCACACACCAGAAGAGACUCAACCACACUUCCCACAUAAGCUACCAGCCCAGAGGGGCCACUGUCCCUCGCUCCCGCUCCCUUCCUCCAGUCCGGCCCCGCUUGCCACGCUCCCCUGCUGUCCGUCUAGUUCCAAAGAGGAAUCGCUUUUAUAAAAAAAUGUCCUGCAGCGCCCUGUUGCUAAUUCAGCAACUUUAUUGCUCAAUACGCCUUACCAUCCGUGGCCUGCCUUUGAAUGGAUUCAUUUACCUGCAUUGAUUGGUGUAUGUCCUUCUUAACUGCGGCCAGAAGAUGCACAGCAGUGCUUAAAAACUGUGUAGCAUUUUGCUUUCUGAUAAUGAUAGUUAACUCCACUGUUGAUUGCCAAUGACAUGGUAUUCCCCUCUUGAAGAUGGACUUAAAUCGCAUAACUCUGUUCCUUGAUAAUGAGAAAAUAAAUUACUUUUCUAUACUGUGUUCUGCCAA
Non-coding RNA from Equus caballus (horse), 15584 nucleotides. The record is from RefSeq and is a predicted model, not a curated record. NCBI's taxonomy places the organism in Eukaryota, Metazoa, Chordata, Mammalia, Perissodactyla, Equidae.